RNAcentral lists this ribosomal RNA (274 nucleotides) under uncultured bacterium. RNAcentral describes it as "partial 16S ribosomal RNA". It matches the Rfam family "Bacterial small subunit ribosomal RNA", at positions 523 to 796 of the family's 1533-position model. The record is from RNAcentral.
AUACGGAGGGGGUUAGCGUUGUUCGGAAUUACUGGGCGUAAAGCGUACGUAGGCGGAUUGGAAAGUAUGGGGUGAAAUCCCAGGGCUCAACCCUGGAACUGCCUCAUAAACUCCCAGUCUAGAGUUCGAGAGAGGUGAGUGGAAUUCCGAGUGUAGAGGUGAAAUUCGUAGAUAUUCGGAGGAACACCAGUGGCGAAGGCGGCUCACUGGCUCGAUACUGACGCUGAGGUACGAAAGUGUGGGGAGCAAACAGGAUUAGAAACCCCAGUAGUCC